UACGGAGGGGGCUAGCGUUGUUCGGAAUUACUGGGCGUAAAGCGCACGUAGGCGGCUUUGUAAGUUAGAGGUGAAAGCCCGGAGCUCAACUCCGGAACUGCCUUUAGGACUGCAUCGCUUGAACGUCGGAGAGGUAAGUGGAAUUCCGAGUGUAGAGGUGAAAUUCGUAGAUAUUCGGAAGAACACCAGUGGCGAAGGCGACUUACUGGACGACUGUUGACGCUGAGGUGCGAAAGCGUGGGGAGCAAACAGG
RNAcentral lists this ribosomal RNA (253 nucleotides) under uncultured bacterium. Its description in RNAcentral is "partial 16S ribosomal RNA". It matches the Rfam family "Bacterial small subunit ribosomal RNA", at positions 524 to 776 of the family's 1533-position model. The record is from RNAcentral.